GCCGAUGUGGUGGAACGUGGUAUACACGCCGUCUUGAGGAGGCGGUCUCGUCAGAGAUGUGGGUUCGACUCCCGCCAUCGGCAC
RNAcentral lists this transfer RNA (84 nucleotides) under Chloroflexota bacterium. Its description in RNAcentral is "tRNA-Leu". It matches the Rfam family "tRNA". From Rfam's summary of the family: Transfer RNA (tRNA) molecules are approximately 80 nucleotides in length. Their secondary structure includes four short double-helical elements and three loops (D, anti-codon, and T loops). Further hydrogen bonds mediate the characteristic L-shaped molecular structure. tRNAs have two regions of fundamental functional importance: the anti-codon, which is responsible for specific mRNA codon recognition, and the 3' end, to which the tRNAs corresponding amino acid is attached (by aminoacyl-tRNA synthetases). tRNAs cope with the degeneracy of the genetic code in two manners: having more than one tRNA (with a specific anti-codon) for a particular amino acid; and 'wobble' base-pairing, i.e. permitting non-standard base-pairing at the 3rd anti-codon position. Lineage: Bacteria; Bacillati; Chloroflexota. The record is from RNAcentral.